CCGACCGGAGCGGAGCGCGAGCUCGGAGCCACAGAGCACAUCAGCGGCCAUUGCGGUCACGUGAUCAGUGGUGGAACCCCCGUAAAGCCCCGCCCACUAAACCACAGGCUCUGCCCACGGAGUCAAUUCAGUUCAGUGUGUUUUUGAGUUAGUGAGUGAGCUCAGCAUUGUAGCUCAUGGACACACACACACACAGGGAAAAACCCCACAGUGUGUGUGGAUGAUCGUAGUGAUUGUGACAGUGUGUGUAACUACUGUGUCCGGUCCAGUUCUGAUGAAGAGGCUUGAGACGCAGUUGGUUGGUGAAAUUUGUCUCUACUCCAGUGUUCAGCCCUGCUGCUGUAUGAUCAGAUUGGGUUUUAUCUUUUAUUAAGCUAUCAGCAUAAAUGUUUGAAAAUGAAUUUAAAUAAAUGAUGAUGUGAUGAAUUA
Long non-coding RNA from Tachysurus fulvidraco (yellow catfish), 429 nucleotides. RefSeq lists it as uncharacterized. Lineage: Eukaryota; Metazoa; Chordata; Actinopteri; Siluriformes; Bagridae. The transcript is spliced from 2 exons. The record is from RefSeq and is a predicted model, not a curated record.